Molecule: long non-coding RNA, 1109 nt
Organism: Alligator sinensis (Chinese alligator)
Lineage: Eukaryota; Metazoa; Chordata; Crocodylia; Alligatoridae
Exons: 3
Source: RefSeq, a predicted model, not a curated record
CCUGUCCAGGACUGCUCUUAUUAUGCUCACAUGGGGCUGAGCCCUGCUCACUCCUGUGGGGGCAGUGCACACUGCCCUCCCACCCUCACCCAUGGGAGGCCCUGACCCUAGCCCUGCAGGCAACCCCCACUUAGCACUCUUAAUUGGUUCCUGAAAAACUGAGCUUUAAGUGAAACGAGCGUUAAGCGAAACUGAAAAUAUUUGAUGACCCAAGAUGGCAACCACAAUUGUUUUUAAAGACUCAAGAUGGCGACCACAUGCAUUAUAAUGAAACUCGCUGAGUGCUAAGUGAAAUCAGCUCCAACUUUACUUGUUUUCUGCUGUUCUUCGAGUCCCAAAGCUGAUGUUUGCACCUACCUCAAACAUGGCAUCUGAUGAUGACUGCACUUGGAGCUCCUUGAGGGAUAGAAACAAACCCACAACCAAGCUCCUCCUGAAUAAGAUGCAAGUCUCUCAUGCUUACCACUAGCAUACAAACAUCUCAUUUACUUUCAGCUGAUAUAACUUCACCAUCAAUACAAGUCAGAUGAGAUGCCUGAAACCUGAGCCAAAUACAAGCUUAAUAGAUGUCAUGUUUCUGUACCAUACAUGUGACUUACAUGCUCUCCCUUGCAUUCUAUUGCUUUUCUCCUGUUCCAGCCUUUGAGUAAGGGGAAAGGCAGAAAUCUGCUGGAAAUGAGCAUAAAGCUCCUGGACAUUCACUUGCAGAAUCCCACUGCUCAGUUUUAGUCAAAUCUCCAUCAUGCAGUUCUUUGCAUUGGAUUCUUUCUUUCAUUUCACUUUUCCAGAAAAAUUCCACAUCUUGAAGAUUUGAAUAUCUUAAGUCAAUCGUAUUAGUUAACUAAAGUUGUUUUCUUUUGAGGUAAAGCGAUUUGUUACAGCUGAUGGUGGGGAGAUAGUCUUAUUCAGCCUAGCCAGCCAAUAAUAAGGCCCAAUACCAGCUACAGCUACAAAAGGACUAGCAGCCCCAGUAUUUCAACAUGACUAAGACUUUGAGGAUGUGAGAAAUAACCCUGCAAGAAUGAGACAGUGUUAAACAGAAGCAUGAUGAUGGCUGUCAGGAAACAAGAAGCCUAAUAUUCUUAACUAUUAGUCAUGACAUAGGCCUC